AAUAGAUACCCCGGUAGUCCACGCCGUAAACGAUGAGUGCUAAGUGUUAGAGGGUUUCCGCCCUUUAGUGCUGAAGUUAACGCAUUAAGCACUCCGCCUGGGGAGUACGGCCGCAAGGCUGAAACUCAAAGGAAUUGACGGGGGCCCGCACAAGCGGUGGAGCAUGUGGUUUAAUUCGAAGCAACGCGAAGAACCUUACCAGGUCUUGACAUCCUCUGACAACCCUAGAGAUAGGGCUUCUCCUUCGGGAGCAGAGUGACAGGUGGUGCAUGGUUGUCGUCAGCUCGUGUCGUGAGAUGUUGGGUUAAGUCCCGCAACGAGCGCAACCCUUGAUCUUAGUUGCCAUCAUUAAGUUGGGCACUCUAAGGUGACUGCCGGUGACAAACCGGAGGAAGGUGGGGAUGACGUCAAAUCAUCAUGCCCCUUAUGACCUGGGCUACACACGUGCUACAAUGGACGGUACAAAGAGCUGCAAGACCGCGAGGUGGAGCUAAUCUCAUAAAACCGUUCUCAGUUCGGAUUGUAGGCUGCAAC
RNAcentral lists this ribosomal RNA (534 nucleotides) under uncultured bacterium. Its description in RNAcentral is "bacterial SSU rRNA". It matches the Rfam family "Bacterial small subunit ribosomal RNA", at positions 777 to 1311 of the family's 1533-position model. The record is from RNAcentral.